GUGUUUUGGAAGCUUGGGGCUGUUCUCAAUGGAACAAUUAAGAGAAAUAGCUAUUGGGCUGGAGAGAAGUGGCCAGAGGUUUUUGUGGGUCGUGCGAAAUCCACCCUCUGAUAAUCAAAGCUUAGCCAUCUCAGCCCACCCAGACCCAAAUUUGAACGCAUUGCUUCCUGAUGGUUUCUUGGAUCGUACCAAGGAAAGGGGACUCGUGGUGAAGUUGUGGGCUCCCCAGGUAGC
This 234-nucleotide unclassified non-coding RNA is filed under the name Hevea brasiliensis (rubber tree). Lineage: Eukaryota; Viridiplantae; Streptophyta; Magnoliopsida; Malpighiales; Euphorbiaceae. The record is from RNAcentral.